RNAcentral lists this transfer RNA (72 nucleotides) under Heterocephalus glaber (naked mole-rat). It matches the Rfam family "tRNA". From Rfam's summary of the family: Transfer RNA (tRNA) molecules are approximately 80 nucleotides in length. Their secondary structure includes four short double-helical elements and three loops (D, anti-codon, and T loops). The record is from Rfam by way of RNAcentral. Lineage: Eukaryota; Metazoa; Chordata; Mammalia; Rodentia; Bathyergidae.
UAGGUUGUAGCUCAGUGGUAGAGCACGUGCUUAUCACUGAUAAGUUCCUGGGUUCAAUCCCCAGCAUCACAA